UACGUAGGGUGCAAGCGUUAAUCGGAAUUACUGGGCGUAAAGCGUGCGCAGGCGGUGAUGUAAGACAGUUGUGAAAUCCCCGGGCUCAACCCGGGAACUGCGUCCGAUACUGGGAGGCUUGAAUCCGGGAGAGGGAUGUGGAAUUCCAGGUGUAGCGGUGAAAUGCGUAGAUAUCAGGAGGAACACCGGUGGCGAAAGCGCUUGUCUGGCCCAAUACUGACGCUGAUGCGCGAAAGCUAGGGGAGCAAACGGG
RNAcentral lists this ribosomal RNA (253 nucleotides) under uncultured bacterium. Its description in RNAcentral is "partial 16S ribosomal RNA". It matches the Rfam family "Bacterial small subunit ribosomal RNA", at positions 524 to 776 of the family's 1533-position model. The record is from RNAcentral.